RNAcentral lists this ribosomal RNA (253 nucleotides) under uncultured bacterium. RNAcentral describes it as "partial 16S ribosomal RNA". It matches the Rfam family "Bacterial small subunit ribosomal RNA", at positions 524 to 776 of the family's 1533-position model. The record is from RNAcentral.
UACGUAGGGGGCAAGCGUUGUCCGGAAUCAUUGGGCGUAAAGAGCGUGUAGGCGGUCCGGUAAGUCGGCUGUGAAAGUCCAGGGCUCAACCCUGGGAUGCCGGUCGAUACUGCCGGACUAGAGUUCGGAAGAGGCGAGUGGAAUUCCCGGUGUAGCGGUGAAAUGCGCAGAUAUCGGGAGGAACACCGGUGGCGAAGGCGACCAUCUGGACGGAUACUGACGCUGAGACGCGAAAGCGUGGGUAGCAAACAGG